This 225-nucleotide unclassified non-coding RNA is filed under the name Hevea brasiliensis (rubber tree). The record is from RNAcentral. Lineage: Eukaryota; Viridiplantae; Streptophyta; Magnoliopsida; Malpighiales; Euphorbiaceae.
AUCAUAUUUGGGGCAGAAACCACUUCAUCUUCAACCUCAUAACAAACAGCCAUAUGAACCACCAUUAAAGCUCCAUUGCCGUCCAUGGAGCAAGCCACAUGCACUCCCAUUCCAAGCUUCAUUUCACCAUAGUUCCUUCACUAAACUUUGUCCUCACACCAUGGACAGUAGAUAGGCAGCAAGAAAGUUAAGUUUUGGUGAGGUUUUGAAGAAUUUCAAAAGUGG